UGGGGAAUAUUGCGCAAUGGACGAAAGUCUGACGCAGCAACGCCGCGUGAGUGAAGAAGGCCUUCGGGUUGUAAAGCUCUGUCGUGAGGGACGAACAACUGCAAGUUAACAGCUUGCAGCCUGACGGUACCUCAAAAGGAAGCACCGGCUAACUCUGUGCCAGCAGCCGCGGUAAUACAGAGGGUGCAAGCGUUGUUCGGAAUUAUUGGGCGUAAAGGGUAGGUAGGUGGUCUCGUUUGUCUGAGGUGAAAUCCCUGGGCUUAACCCAGGAAGUGCCUUAGAAACGGCGAGACUAGAGUAUUGGAGAGGGUCGUGGAAUUCCCGGUGUAGCGGUGAAAUGCGUAGAGAUCGGGAGGAACACCAGAUGCGAAGGCGGCGACCUGGACAAUUACUGACACUCAACUACGAAAGCGUGGGGAGCAAACAG
Molecule: ribosomal RNA, 427 nt
Filed under: uncultured bacterium
Lineage: Bacteria
Description: bacterial SSU rRNA
Rfam family: Bacterial small subunit ribosomal RNA
Source: RNAcentral